UCAGCAAAAAAAACCUUAAAACCUAUCGAUGCUUUGUUUUUAUAUCCGUAUAUUGGAGUACAAAAAAUGUACCCCAAUUACAAUAAAAAAUCUAUAAAUAUUUAGAUGACACAAUAAAAACGCCACCAUUAAAAUGAUGACAUUCUCAUCAGAAAAUCAUAAUUUGGAAUAUGAGAAGCAAACUUGCUCCACCCCAAAAAAUAUAAUUUAUAUAUGCACAGCCUUCUCGUCUCGUAAAAGUCAACACAACAAUCUUAUUGGCAAUGGAAACUCACUCAACCAAAAACGGAUUAAGUGGAGAUGGCGAAAAAAAAGCAGCUAAAAUCGCCGGCAAAGAGGCACAAAAACUCGACCAGGCCAACGAUGGAUGGUGGCGAAUUAUUAUGCAGCAGCAAUUACUCGCCAAUUGUCGUCGCAAUGAGAUAGUAUAGAGAAUGGGAACAAAAGAGGAAAAAGCUGUUCGAAAUGGCGAUAAUCCGGUCGUCGGGAACGAUGGACAUCGAAUCGGAUCGCAAUGAUCAAACGCCUCUGGAACUUGGGAUCUUGGCCAGCUCAACGCUUUUGGCCCGGCCGGCUAUGACCAAAUGCAGAGGAUCAGCAGUUGCCAGUCGCCCCCUGUGAUUAUUUUUAUUAUAAUUGCGCGUUUAUUGGCGUGAGGAUAUGUGUUGCCACUCGAAUCCGUGGGGACACUACGCUACACAAUCGCACCGCCUCGACUUGGUACACAAACGGCAAACGGCAAAUCGGCUUUGAUUUGUGUGGCAAACUUGGCGCUUGUUAUACAGCAUUUUUGCGUCUCUUAAAUGCUGCAUUUUCCUCUGCAUUUGUUGCUCUUUAGUUUAAAUGGCUUAUAUGACUUAUAUAUGGGUUUGUAAAGAAGUCUAUAAAGAUGACAUUGUGUCUUGGCUCUUGAGUCUUGUAGAACAUCAUUGCAUUAAGCUUUCUUCAGGAAUUUUAGGUUU
Non-coding RNA from Drosophila melanogaster (fruit fly), 962 nucleotides. The record is from Ensembl. Lineage: Eukaryota; Metazoa; Arthropoda; Insecta; Diptera; Drosophilidae.